Triticum aestivum (bread wheat) is the source of this 135-nucleotide non-coding RNA. NCBI's taxonomy places the organism in Eukaryota, Viridiplantae, Streptophyta, Magnoliopsida, Poales, Poaceae. The record is from Rfam.
CAACUACUCCCUCUGUCCCAAAUUUCUUGUCUAAGAUUUGUCUAGAUACGGAUGUAUCUAAUACUAAAAUGUGACUUGAUACAUCCGUAUCUAGACAAAUCUAAGACAAUAAUUUUGGGAUGAAGGGGGUACUUU